This 329-nucleotide unclassified non-coding RNA is filed under the name soil metagenome. Its description in RNAcentral is "partial contains 5.8S ribosomal RNA, internal transcribed spacer 2, and large subunit ribosomal RNA". The stretch from base 1 to 120 matches the Rfam family "5.8S ribosomal RNA", at positions 35 to 154 of the family's 154-position model. The record is from RNAcentral.
GAUGCAGAACGCAGCGAAAUGCGAUAAGUAAUGUGAAUUGCAGAAUUCAGUGAAUCAUCGAAUCUUUGAACGCACAUUGCGCCCCUUGGUAUUCCGAGGGGCAUGCCUGUUCGAGCGUCAUUAUAACCCCUCAAGCUCAGCUUGGUGUUGGGGCCUGCUGCACUGGCAGCCCUUAAAAUCAGUGGCGGCGCCAUCUGGCUCUAAGCGUAGUAAUUCUUCUCGCUAUGGAGUCCUGGUGGAUGCUUGCCAUCAACCCCCAAUUUUUCUAUGGUUGACCUCGGAUCAGGUAGGGAUACCCGCUGAACUUAAGCAUAUCAAUAAGCGGAGGA